AUGAACUCACCAGAGGCGUCCUGGGUUGCUCAAUGCAGAGACUCUUACCCAGGGUGUCACUCUGAGAGAUACACGUGCCUGAGCCUCUUCCCUGAAGACAGACCCAGCAGAUCUGGAGGGAGGCCCCUGUGACGCACCCUGUGAUGAGCUGCUGAUCCGAGCUGCGUGGAACCUCAGCGGGGAUACCCUAUCAUCUUUACUUUGUUGGAGAGGAGCUGUAAUAGUCUAUGUUAAAGUUACUGUUCAGACAAAGGAUUCCAACAAAUUGCUUUCAUUACUUUACUGGUAA
Piliocolobus tephrosceles (Ugandan red Colobus) is the source of this 289-nucleotide long non-coding RNA. RefSeq annotates it as putative protein ATP11AUN. The transcript is spliced from 2 exons. The record is from RefSeq and is a predicted model, not a curated record. Lineage: Eukaryota; Metazoa; Chordata; Mammalia; Primates; Cercopithecidae.